UGGGGGAUAUUGCACAAUGGGCGAAAGCCUGAUGCAGCGACGCCGCGUGGGGGAUGAAGGCUUUAGGGUUGUAAACCUCUUUCGCUAUCGAACAAGGCCCGCUUAGGGUGGGUUGAGGGUAGGUGGAGAAGAAGCGCCGGCUAACUACGUGCCAGCAGCCGCGGUAAUACGUAGGGCGCGAGCGUUGUCCGGAAUUAUUGGGCGUAAAGGGCUUGUAGGCGGCUUGUUGCGCCUGCUGUGAAAACGCGGGGCUUAACUUCGCGCGUGCAGUGGGUACGGGCAGGCUUGAGUGUGGUAGGGGUGACUGGAAUUCCAGGUGUAGCGGUGGAAUGCGCAGAUAUCUGGAGGAACACCGAUGGCGAAGGCAGGUCACUGGGCCAUUACUGACGCUGAGGAGCGAAAGCAUGGGUAGCGAACAGG
This 420-nucleotide ribosomal RNA is filed under the name bacterium. Its description in RNAcentral is "partial 16S ribosomal RNA". It matches the Rfam family "Bacterial small subunit ribosomal RNA", at positions 355 to 776 of the family's 1533-position model. The record is from RNAcentral.